RNAcentral lists this ribosomal RNA (837 nucleotides) under uncultured bacterium. Its description in RNAcentral is "bacterial SSU rRNA". It matches the Rfam family "Bacterial small subunit ribosomal RNA", at positions 28 to 866 of the family's 1533-position model. The record is from RNAcentral.
GAUGAACGCNGGCGGCGUGCNAACACAUGCAAGUCGAGCGGUAUAUAUCUAAACAAAACUUCGGUCUAGUGAGGGUAUAGAGAGCGGCGGACGGGUGAGUAACGCGUAGGCAACCUGCCCCAUACAGAGGGAUAGCCUCGGGAAACCGGGAUUAAAACCUCAUAACGCGAAGAGUUCACAUGGACUUUUCGCCAAAGAUUUAUCGGUAUGGGAUGGGCCUGCGUCUGAUUAGCUAGUUGGUGGGGUAACGGCCUACCAAGGCGACGAUCAGUAGCCGACCUGAGAGGGUAAUCGGCCACAUUGGAACUGAGACACGGUCCAAACUCCUACGGGAGGCAGCAGUGGGGAAUAUUGCACAAUGGGCGAAAGCCUGAUGCAGCAACGCCGCGUGAGCGAUGAAGGCCUUUGGGUCGUAAAGCUCUGUCCUUGGGGAAGAAAAAAAUGACGGUACCCUUGGAGGAAGCCCCGGCUAACUACGUGCCAGCAGCCGCGGUAAUACGUAGGGGGCAAGCGUUAUCCGGAAUUAUUGGGCGUAAAGAGUGCGUAGGUGGUUUUGUAAGCGCGGGGUGAAAGGCUAUGGCUCAACCAUAGUAAGCCUUGCGAACUGCAAGACUUGAGUGCAGGAGAGGAAAGUGGAAUUCCUAGUGUAGCGGUGAAAUGCGUAGAUAUUAGGAGGAACACCAGUGGCGAAGGCGACUUUCUGGACUGUAACUGACACUGAGGCACGAAAGCGUGGGGAGCAAACAGGAUUAGAUACCCUGGUAGUCCACGCCGUAAACGAUGAGCACUAGGUGUCGGGGUCGCAAGGCUUCGGUGCCGCAGUUAACGCAUUAAGUG